This 303-nucleotide long non-coding RNA is filed under the name Triticum aestivum (bread wheat). RNAcentral describes it as "long non-coding RNA (TAES_LNC016094)". Lineage: Eukaryota; Viridiplantae; Streptophyta; Magnoliopsida; Poales; Poaceae. The record is from RNAcentral.
AAGAGAAAAAAGUUAUUUUGUUACGCCAAAUGCAAAGUUAUUUUGUCGUGGAAAGAGAAAAAAAGAUGAACAAUUAGAAGACAUGUAACAAAGAAAACAUAUGGUAGAAGACGAACUGCAUUAUUACAUAAACAGAAAGAAACAAGUCUGUGGUAUAUAAUUAUUAUGAUAAACACAACUCUUCAUUUAAAUAGAGAAGCCAUGCAUUACUACAUGCAAUCACACAGUUAGGCAAGAAAAUAGCCUAGUCACACUCAUGUUAAGUGAUCACAUGGUAUCAAUAUAGCAGCGAUAUGUAGAAAG